This 369-nucleotide ribosomal RNA is filed under the name Triticum aestivum (bread wheat). RNAcentral's name for it is "partial small subunit ribosomal RNA". The record is from RNAcentral. Lineage: Eukaryota; Viridiplantae; Streptophyta; Magnoliopsida; Poales; Poaceae.
AUGGGAUACAGAGCCAGAUCUAGUCGGGAGCAGCAACGGGGGGAAGAAGAAGCGGAAGGCACAGGUGCCCAGGCGCUCCCCACGUUUCCCCCGCCGCUCACCGCGCCUCCUCAGCCUCUCCAGGUCCGCUCCGACGGAAUAGGCGCCUCCCCCGCCGGCAAUCGCUUCUGGUUGCUGGCCGGGGAGGACGCUGAUGAGGAGGCCGGGGACUCGUUAGAAGAAACUGUGAAGACUCUGGUCAUGGAUAGAGCUUGCCACUACCUGCUUGAUAAGGAUGUUGGUAUUGAGCCUAGAAUUUCUAUGCAUGUUAGUAAAAAUAGAAGAAGCAAAAAAAAUGUGGAAGUAUUGAUAGAACCCCUGCAAAAAUAA